This is a long non-coding RNA of Cydia splendana, 794 nucleotides long. RefSeq lists it as uncharacterized. The transcript has 2 exons. Lineage: Eukaryota; Metazoa; Arthropoda; Insecta; Lepidoptera; Tortricidae. The record is from RefSeq and is a predicted model, not a curated record.
CGUGGCUUUGGCGUUUGGACAUUUUUGUAAUGCUUUGUAAUAAGGUAGGUGAGGUAUCUAUAUCCCUAAUUGUAAUAACCUUUUUUGAAUGAAUUACAAUUUAAUUAUUUAAAUAAUAAAGUGGUCUACAAAAAUACACAUCCGCUCAGUCCGCUAAAAUAAUUUAAGUGCUCUACAUAAUAUUAAGUAGGUAUAUUUAAGAUUAACAAUCAGUAAAGAUCAUUAAUUACGCUCAAAUGCUUAUGUUUCAGUACAAAUUGGGUGAGAUAUUUCCGACAUAAAACCUAAAGGUAAAAGUACAAUUUGCUAAGUACGUAAACUGUCAAUCUACAUUAAUUAUAAUUAGAGAUGGACUCUUAGAAGUCAGCCUACUGAAGAUUAUGAACAACAUAUAGGUACCUACUUUCUUAAUAAAAUACAAUUUGGUUUUCUAUGACUUAUGUAGGCCUUAUUUUACUAUAGACCAUUUUAAAUUGAAGAUGAAAUUAAUUCAUGAUAAAAGGUAAUAAGGCCCGGUAAUAUUCUCUGUUAUUAUUGAACUUGUACUAUGACUAAGAAGGCCCACUGUCAGUGCAAGUAACAAGGCCCGGUUCCGAACCAACAUGGUAUGGUUUUUUUUAUAAAACGUGUAUUUUUCAAAAGCGCCGGAAUAUUUUUAUAACUAUUUUGGUAUAUGAAGAAACAUGAACAAAUGAGAAACCUAUAUUGAAAUGAAUUGGUAAUAAUAUCCUGAUUAUUUAUAAAACUAUUUCAGUUAAAAUAAAGGUGGGCCUUAUAUGCCUCACCUGACCUUA